RNAcentral lists this long non-coding RNA (1522 nucleotides) under Callithrix jacchus (white-tufted-ear marmoset). RNAcentral describes it as "lncRNA (ENSCJAG00000069606.1)". Lineage: Eukaryota; Metazoa; Chordata; Mammalia; Primates; Cebidae. The record is from RNAcentral.
UGCACAUUUCUCUGCAUAUAAGCAUUUCAUUUAUGAAUAAGAAUUUCUUCAAAAUUUUUUUUCUUUUUUUGAGAUGGAGUUUCACUCUUGUUACCCAGGCUGGAGUGCAAUGGCGCGACCUCGGCUCACUGCAACCUCCGCCUCCUGGGAUCAGGCAAUUCUCCUGCCUCAGCCUCCUGAGUAGCUGGGAAUUACAGGUUGCUAAGAUAAUCUGGACAUGAGCUAUCAAAGCAUGGCAUCUCCUGGCUACAAGCAUCAUUCUUGGCACUUUUAUUAGAAUCAUCAAGAAGGGGGCACUCUCCUUCUUCAAGUAACAUCUUAGCCCGGAGCCUCGGGGAGCCAUAUUGGAUACCAGAUGGAGAGAGCCUGCUGAGCAAAUUUGAGGAGAGAGUGAGGCCUGAAAACACCAUUUGUCCAGAAGCCUGAUGUACUGCUAGAUUUUUUUCAUAAAUAAAUAAAUGUUAUUUGUUUUUAAUAUAAACUAGCAGAGUUGGACUUUUGUCAUUUGAAUGAGUCACGAUUAGAACAUGGUGUGAGGCAGACAUAGUUUUCUUCAUUUAACUGUAUUUUCAGUAGUUUAAAUAACUCAGUCAGAAUUAUGGAACUAGGUAUUGGCUUAGGCCAAAUUAUGGCUUUUUUGAAAUCAUAACUGUGAUUUUUGUUCUCUUCAGAAACACAUAUCCACUUAGCUGUGAUGAGUUUUUUCGUAUUUGUGACUGUGAUCUAUUUUGGCUGAUGUGUAAGAGAAUAAUAUUUUGAUGACCUAACACGUUUGCUAUCAUUAAUUUUGGUGCUUGAUCCCACCACUUCUAUUUAAAAUUAGAGUGGAGGUCCUAGUCAGUAAAAUACAGCAAGAAAACACAAAUACAAGGCAUAAAGAAACUCUCUUGGGGUAGGAAGAAACUCUCUUUAUUCACAGAUGACAGAAUCAUGUAUGCAGAAAGCUAUAAGGAAGAAAAAAACUGGUGACUAAGUUAGACAAAGUUGCAGAAAAGGAAGGUAUUUUAUAGAACUGUUUGUUUUAUAGUAUAGAAACACACAAUUAGAGAACAACAUAAAUGACCAUUUACAAUUACAUUCAACAUUACCAAAGUACUUAGGGAUAUUUAAUAAAAUAUAUGAGACUGGUACAAUAAAGGCUACAAAAUAUUGCUGAAAGAAAUUAAGACCUUCACAAAUGGGGAAUAUAUCAUGCCCAUAUAUUAGAAUACUAAAUAUUACUGAGAUGUCAAUUUGUUUCAAAUUGAUAUGUACAUUUAUUACAAUAUCAAUUGAAUUCCAAGCAGACUUUUUCUGUAGAAAUUAACAAACUACAUCUAAAAUGUUUUGGGGAAUACAGAGACAUAGAACAGCUGAAAUAAUUUUAAUUUAAUAAAAAGAAUGUAGAAGACUUAUACUACCUGUUUUCAAGAUUUACUGUAAACCUAUAAUAAUUAAGAAAUCAUGGUGCUGGCAUAGAAUAGACAUAUAAAUCAACAGAACAAGAUAGAAUCCAGACAUAGACAUAAACCAGCUCAGACAU